This 937-nucleotide ribosomal RNA is filed under the name uncultured archaeon. RNAcentral's name for it is "bacterial SSU rRNA". It matches the Rfam family "Archaeal small subunit ribosomal RNA", at positions 10 to 922 of the family's 1478-position model. The record is from RNAcentral.
GAUCCUGCCGGACCCCACUGCUAUCGGGAUAGGACUAAGGCAUGCUAGUUCGCGUCUCCCAGCCACGGAAGAGACGCAGCGAACGGCUCAGUAACACGUGGUCAACCUACCCUUUGGACGGAGAUAACCCCGGGAAACUGGGGACAACAACCGAUAGGUGAGAAGACCUGGAACGGUUUCUCGCCUAAAAGACGCCGGGACCAUGCUUCCUGCGUCGCCUAAGGAUGGGGCUGCGACCGAUCAGGUAGUUGGCGAGGUAACGGCUCACCAAGCCUAUAACCGGUACGGGCCGUGAAAGCGGGAGCCCGGAGAUGGGUACUGAGACAAGGACCCAGGCCCUACGGGGCGCAGCAGCUACGAAAACUCUGAAAUGUGCGAAAGCGCGACAGGGCUAUCCCGAGUGCCGUCCGCUGAGGAUGGCUUUUCUCUGGUGUAAUGAGCCGGAGGAAUAAGGGGAGGGCAAGUUUCUGGUGUCAGCCGCCGCGGUAAUACCAGCUCCCCGAGUGGUGAGGACUAUUAUUUGGCCUAAAGCGUCCGUAGCUGGUUCAGCAAGUCUCUUGUUAAAUCCAACGAUUCAAUCGCUGGACAGCGGGAGAUACUGCAGGACUAGGAGGCGGAAGAAGCCGACGGUACUCGUGGGGUAGGGGUAAAAUCCUAUAAUCCCAGGAGGACCACCAGUGGCGAAGGCGGUCGGCUAGAACGCGCUCGACGGUGAGGGACGAAAGCUGGGGGAGCGAUCCGGAUUAGAUACCCGGGUAGUCCCAGCUGUAAACUAUGCAGGCUAGGUGUUAUCGUGACUACGCGUUACGAUAGUGCCGCAGGGAAGCCGUUAAGCCUGCCGCCUGGGAAGUACGGUCGCAAGACUGAAACUUAAAGGAAUUGGCGGGGGAGCACCACAAGGGGUGAAGCUUGCGGUUCAAUUGGAGUCAACGCCGGG